RNAcentral lists this ribosomal RNA (248 nucleotides) under uncultured Christensenellaceae bacterium. Its description in RNAcentral is "partial 16S ribosomal RNA". It matches the Rfam family "Bacterial small subunit ribosomal RNA", at positions 524 to 771 of the family's 1533-position model. Lineage: Bacteria; Bacillati; Bacillota; Clostridia; Christensenellales; Christensenellaceae. The record is from RNAcentral.
UACGUAGGGAGCGAGCGUUGUCCGGAAUUACUGGGCGUAAAGGGUGCGUAGGCGGUUAUUUAAGUCAGAUGUGAAAUACUUGAGCUUAACUCAGGGGCUGCAUCUGAUACUGGGUGACUAGAGUGCAGGAGAGGAAAGUGGAAUUCCUAGUGUAGCGGUGGAAUGCGUAGAUAUUAGGAGGAACACCAGUGGCGAAGGCGACUUUCUGGACUGUAACUGACGCUGAGGCACGAAAGUAUGGGUAGCAA